Molecule: ribosomal RNA, 93 nt
Filed under: Klebsiella michiganensis
Lineage: Bacteria; Pseudomonadati; Pseudomonadota; Gammaproteobacteria; Enterobacterales; Enterobacteriaceae
Description: partial 23S ribosomal RNA
Source: RNAcentral
UACCCCGAGGAAAAGAAAUCAACCUAGAUUCCCCCAGUAGCGGCGAGCGAACGGGGAGCAGCCCGGAGUCUGAAUCAGCUUGUGUGUUAGUGG